Molecule: ribosomal RNA, 465 nt
Filed under: uncultured bacterium
Lineage: Bacteria
Description: partial 16S ribosomal RNA
Rfam family: Bacterial small subunit ribosomal RNA
Source: RNAcentral
GACGAACGCUGGCGGCGUGCUUAACACAUGCAAGUCGAACGGAAAGGCCCUGCUUGCAGGGUAUUCGAGUGGCGAACGGGUGAGUAACACGUGGGUGAUCUGCCCUGCACUUCGGGAUAAGCCUGGGAAACUGGGUCUAAUACCGGAGAGGAGCCAUUUUUAGUGUGAUGGUUGGAAAGUUUUUUCGGUGUAGGAUGAGCUCGCGGCCUAUCAGCUUGUUGGUGGGGUAAUGGCCUACCAAGGCGGCGACGGGUAGCCGGCCUGAGAGGGUGGACGGCCACAUUGGGACUGAGAUACGGCCCAGACUCCUACGGGAGGCAGCAGUGGGGAAUAUUGCACAAUGGGCGCAAGCCUGAUGCAGCGACGCCGCGUGGGGGAUGACGGCCUUCGGGUUGGAAACUCCUUUCGCUAGGGACGAAGCUUUUUGUGACGGUACCUAGAUAAGAAGCACCGGCUAACUACGUG